Molecule: non-coding RNA, 247 nt
Organism: Mastigocladus laminosus
Lineage: Bacteria; Bacillati; Cyanobacteriota; Cyanophyceae; Nostocales; Hapalosiphonaceae
Source: Rfam
GUCAGAAACCCCACCGCUAAAGCGGGGGGCGCAGAAAUUGUCCUUAUCUGACCAGACUCAGUACCCAAAAAGUACUACGUUAGAGGCAAGAGUUAAAGACCUACCAAGGGAUGCUCCCGCUAGUCCCUUGCUCUAGAACCGAACGAUUAAACAGGCUUAAAGGGGUUAAACCAGUGUCGUUGGGAUAGUUACAGACGUCUAACAUUGUCGUUCGCCCUUGGCGUUGCCGAAGGCUAGCUAACAUUAC